Molecule: ribosomal RNA, 472 nt
Filed under: Panagrolaimus sp. B11 ARA-2018
Lineage: Eukaryota; Metazoa; Nematoda; Chromadorea; Rhabditida; Panagrolaimidae
Description: SSU rRNA
Rfam family: Eukaryotic small subunit ribosomal RNA
Source: RNAcentral
AAGGAAGGCAGCAGGCGGGAAAAUUACCCACUCUCAGUAGAGGAGGUAGGACGAGAAAGACAAGAUUAGUCUUCGGGGCUGGAUCAUUGGAAUGGUUGAUUUUAAAAUCAUUAAAGAGUAUCAAUGAGAGGGCAAGUCUGGUGCCAGCAGCCGCGGUAAUUCCAGCUCUCAUACUGCAUUGAAUUGUUGUUGCGGUUAAAAAGCUCGUAGUUGGAUCUCUACACGAUAGGUUGGUACAUCCUUUGGAUUGUUACUAAUACUAAGUGUUAUUUACAAGUUUUUAUAUUUCUUUACGGGAAUAUAUGACUUGUGAGUUUACUUUGAAUAAAUCAGAGUGCUCAAAACAGGCGUAAGCUUGUAUGGUUUUGCAUGGAAUAAUAGAACAUGACUAUGGUUCAUGUUUUAUUGGUUUUACUUACAAUAGUAAUGAUUAAAAGGAACAAACGGGGGCGUCCGUAUCAUAAGGCGAGAG